This is a non-coding RNA of Paramuricea clavata, 130 nucleotides long. The record is from the annotation of a GenBank genome assembly. Lineage: Eukaryota; Metazoa; Cnidaria; Anthozoa; Malacalcyonacea; Plexauridae.
UGGCAAUAAGAAGAAAGCUUCGGAUUGAUAGGGACACAACCAUACCUGAAAAAUACAAAGAAGUUCUCCUUGUAUUUUUCAUUUAGUUGCAUGUAUUCCUAUCAAUCCGAAGUUUUGCUUGUGUCUUCAU